Non-coding RNA from Salmo salar (Atlantic salmon), 58 nucleotides. Lineage: Eukaryota; Metazoa; Chordata; Actinopteri; Salmoniformes; Salmonidae. The record is from Rfam.
UGGCUCAGUUGGUAGAGCGUGGCGCUUGCAACGCCAGGGUCUUGGGUUCAAUUCCCAC